AUUGAACGCUGGCGGCAUGCUUUACACAUGCAAGUCGAACGGUAACAGGUUAAGCUGACGAGUGGCGAACGGGUGAGUAAUGCAUCGGAACGUGCCCGGUCGUGGGGGAUAACGCAGCGAAAGCUGCGCUAAUACCGCAUACGAUCUAAGGAUGAAAGCGGGGGACCGUAAGGCCUCGCGCGAUCGGCGCGGCCGAUGUCAGAUUAGGUAGUUGGUGGGGCAAAGGCUCACCAAGCCAACGAUCUGGAGCUGGUCUGAGAGGACGACCAGCCACACUGGGACUGAGACACGGCCCAGACUCCUACGGGAGGCAGCAGUGGGGAAUUUUGGACAAUGGGCGAAAGCCUGAUUCAGCCAUGCCGCGUGCAGGAUGAAGGCCUUCGGGUUGUAAACUGCUUUUGUACGGAACGAAAAGACUCUUUCUAAUAAAGAGGGUCCAUGACGGUACCGUAAGAAUAAGCACCGGCUAACUACGUGCCAGCAGCCGCCGUAA
This 493-nucleotide ribosomal RNA is filed under the name uncultured bacterium. RNAcentral describes it as "partial 16S ribosomal RNA". It matches the Rfam family "Bacterial small subunit ribosomal RNA", at positions 30 to 523 of the family's 1533-position model. The record is from RNAcentral.